This is a long non-coding RNA of Triticum aestivum (bread wheat), 3071 nucleotides long. RefSeq lists it as uncharacterized. The record is from RefSeq and is a predicted model, not a curated record. The transcript is spliced from 2 exons. NCBI's taxonomy places the organism in Eukaryota, Viridiplantae, Streptophyta, Magnoliopsida, Poales, Poaceae.
GGAUUUCAACCUCGCCUCUCUAAAACACCGUUGCUACUCUUUCCCCUUCAACCUCUCCAUUUGAUACGUCGUCCUCUUCUCCUUCCCACUAUGUCCCCACCAUAAACACACAAGAAACGGAUGGUGGCAUGCGAGCAAUCAUCUGUCUUCAACACCAGUCGAGGGAUUUUAUUGCCCAUCUCCUUCCGGUGAUGGGACAAAUUGGAGCCGCCCGGGAUUCGGUGUCUCCUCGCCGCUACCUCUACCACUUUGCGGCACCGCAGAUGCUUGCUGCCGGAUCCAAAUCCCCCUGCUGGACAGAUCUGCAGCCAUCACCGCCAUCGCCACGCUGCUCUGUGACUACAUCUUCUUCUUCCCCAGUCUGGUGACGCGCUCGAACAACACCUCACCUAGCACCAUGGGCGGCAUCUCCAGCUCUCCAGCACCUCCCCUAUGGUGGGUGAGGCCAUGAGGCACUGGCUGUGGAUGUGGACUUGCAGGCGCUCCUUCUCGCCGACGACAACGAACUAUUCCACCUCAACCAAGCGAGGACGGAGCGUCCAGCACCGUGCUAUCCAUCAUCUGCAUCCGACUGUGAGGCGGAGUAUGAGACCCCGUUUGCAAGAAAAAACCAUGGUGCGCGUUCUUACUUCCUCUCCUUGCUUCCUCCUACUCGGGAUUGUUCAACCUGCAAUUAGUUCGUUGACUAUAGGCUAGGUUACCGUCUGCAUUAACCCUGUUCUGUUUUGCAGUUGAGAAUCAUAUGGUGAUGCUUUGGAAUAUUUAACCCUUAGAGCCUUUAUACACUUAUAAGGCUGAAGAAUAUACCACUCCAAGUGUUAGCUUUGCAAGGGGUUCCUGUUCUGCCAAAUAAAGGAUACGAAUGCCAUCUACCAUACAUUGAAAAGUUUCUACAAGGAGAUAGUGUGCAGUUAUUUUGUUCCGAUGAAUCUUUCUUAUGCGAGAGUAUGUAUGUGUGAAUUUUGUUUACAAUUUAUGGAUGAUGAUUGGAAAGUACAUGGGUACUGCUUUGAAAUUAGGAAGGACUAAGGAGGAGUAGCCUAAUUAACCAGAGUCAGUACAAAUUUAGGUUAUGUAGUGUGCCAAUGUUGAUAGCUCCUAGGUACGACUAGCUGGUUGUAAGGAUGGUCCUGGUAUGCAAUGAUCUAAUGAUCUUGAGUGAAGUGGACCUCUUAAUCCUAUUUACUUGGACUAUCUGAAUUUGCAUCUUCCUUAUUUGUUAUUACACGUUGCGAUGUGUCCUCUCUGUUGCACUGGUGAGUGAGCAAGUCGUUGUUCCUACACAAGAUUCAGUCACCUUCUGCGUCGUAGGAUUGUCACACACUAAUACUUCGUAGGGCUGUCACAUACUAAUAUUUUUAAUGGCUGGACAUAUAGAUUUGUUUGGAUAAUUUGUGUUGUUGUUGCUUAUUUAAAAUUUGAUUGUUCUUUGACUAUUUGUUUUGAUUUGAGUAGUUACACCAACACCUUGAGGUACUAUUAGUCUGCUAUUAACUCACCCACUCUCAUUUUGUUUGUGCAAACAUUUUUUUAGUCAUGUCGACAAGGUAGUUGAUGAAAAUUCAAACAAGCUGCAAGUGAGGUGACCGGUGUAAUCUUUAUAAUGUAGUCAAAGAAUAACCCCAUCUCCCUCAUGUUGUUCUAAUUCUACAUAUGUUAUUUUGAAGUUAUUAAUUUGUUUUUUACUCUUUGAUUUAACGACUUCUCUUGACCAUGUAUGAAAGCUAAAAAUAUAUUGGUAGCAUGAUUUCUUUAAUCAUACAUUUAUUGUACACAAAAUGUAACAGAUGUCCUCCUAUCUAAUUGUCAAGUUGCUUUAUACACAGGAAGGUAGUACAAUAUAUGUCCAGCCUUCAAAUCAGAUAUAUAUGAAUUUUAUGCCAAGUGAGGCUCUUUCAGUCUCCAUGCUAGAGUCUGAAGAUUGUGGUCUUCUCUGAGAGCUUCUUGACAUAGGUUUGCCAAAACAACAUGUUAUCACCAUUAUUAUCAAUCCAUAACGAACUAUUAUAGUAGUUUCAGGUUUUUCUUCCAAUGUUGGUAAGUGGUCAUACAACAUUGCUAGCUGAGGUAACUAACUGCAGAUUGUCACUCAAGAUUGUACGCAAUAGGGUAGGCAACAUUCAAGGAGCAAACUAACAAAACGUUAGUUUGUAUAAUUUCCUGGUUGUUUUUCUUGUCUUGAAGUUCUUGUAGUAUAAAUAUUUUGUCCUAUUUACAUAUAGUAGAUAUUGGUGCUUGCCAUUGAACUGCGCGACAAUGGCACAUUAUCAAUGCCAGUAUUUUCACAUGAAGGGGCUGUGUAUGACUGCUAUUUUAUUAUUCUCACUGCCAUUCACAACCAUGACCUAUCAAUUUUAAUACUAUAUACUCAUUUGUUUAUGUCAUAUACUUUUAUAUUGUUGAAAUUCAUCUAUAAAUUACUGCAGCAACGCGUGGGGUAUCAUCUAGUUUACGAAGUAUUCAUGCCAUGUUUACAAUAAUUUUAUAUAGUUUUGGUAUGAUUUGAAUGGAACUAACCCGGACUGAUGUUGUUUACAGUAGAACUACCAUGGUGUUGUUUUUUGUGCAGAAAUAAAAGUUCUCGGAAUAGGCUGAAAAUUUACGGUGAUUUUUUAUGGACAAAAAGAGACCCAUGAAGUUUUGAGGAAGGGCCAGAAGAGCCAUGAGGGCAUGACAAGCCUGGGGGCGCACCCUCCCACUAGGUUGCGCCCCUUGAGCUUGUCACUUCCUUGUGGACCCCCUGACAUUAUUCCAACGCCAAAUAUUCCUAUAUGUUGAGGAAACCCCCAAAAGAAACCUAGAUGAGUUGUUCCGCCGCCACAAGCCUCUAUACCAAAGCAAUCUCCAUCAGAGGCCUGUUUUGGCACCCUGCCGAAGAGGAAAAUCAUCACCGGAAGCCAUCUUCAUCACCCUGGCGGUCUACAUGACGAGGAGGGAGUAGUUCACCCUCGUGGCUAAGGGUAUGUACCAGUAGCUAUGUGUUUGAUCUCUCUCUCAUGUUCUUGAUCCGGCACGAUCUUAAUGUAACCAUGGGCUUUGUUAAUAUAGUCGGAUCAUAUGGUAUUUUUCCC